GGAACGGGGUGACCCAGGCCCCUGCAGGUGGUGGGCUUAGGGCACCAGCCAAAGGGAAACCUAAGAGAUGGGCAAGGUCAGCUUAGAAAAAGAUUGUCCAGAGUCUGAAACUCAAAAGUCUAGAAAGAAAACACGUCCUGUCCGCUGACAUGUAUAAUUUAAGAUAUGUUCCUCCUUUUCAAUCUCAUGAAGGGUUGAAACAUGUACGCAAGUAUGAGUUCCGGUCUCCUUCUUUCCCCCUGAAUCCCGUGUGAGGGGCGGGGGUCGUAACAGUCCCAGGGCCGAGCCUCCGUCAUCUGCCCCAGCCCAGGGCGAGGCUGAUUUCCACCCUCCCGCAGGGGCUGCAGACCCAGAGCCCAAGGACAGAGGCCUGCAGAGCAGCUCCUGCCCAGCCGCCGCCGCCCAGGACCAGGCCCUCUAUGCUGCCGUGAAGGACACACAGCCUGAGGAGGCGGAGCAGCCGGACCAUCCGCAGAACAGGCAGGAUGCAGACCCCCGGGAGGGGACGGACGCCCAGGUGAACCACUCAAGAUCAAGACUAAGGCGGGGGGUGGCCACCUCUCCUUCCUCCCUGUCGGGGAGAUUGCUGGACACGAAGGACAGACAAGCGGAAAAGGACAUGCAGAGGGACAGUCAGGUGGGUCCCUUCCUGUCCGAGCCCCCAGGCUUCCCCCACCCCAACCACACACUCUCCCUCUCCCCCACUGCAGGCUGCCGCAUCUGAAGCCCCCCAGGAUGUGACCUAUGCCCAGCUGAACCACUCGACCUUCAGACGGGAGACUGCACCCCCUGCCCCCCAGUCAGGAGAGGCCCCAGAAGAGCCCAGCGUGUAUGCUGCUCUCGCCGUCCGCUAGCCCAGGAAGGACCCAGACCCCACGCUCCAGGGAGGAAGACUGCACGGACCUCGGAAGGCACAGGAGCUGCCCGCAGUGGACACCACCUAACGACCCUUAGCCUGGACUCCCAACCAGGAGCUUCUGGGACCUUUUGGGUGUCACCGGAUUCUACCUUCAAAGAUAACUAAUAUCCUUACAUUUGGGAAAUAAUGCAACAGACUUCUCAAAAAUCAAUGUGUAAAUUGA
Physeter macrocephalus (sperm whale) is the source of this 1082-nucleotide long non-coding RNA. RefSeq lists it as uncharacterized. Lineage: Eukaryota; Metazoa; Chordata; Mammalia; Artiodactyla; Physeteridae. The transcript has 4 exons. The record is from RefSeq and is a predicted model, not a curated record.